CCAUCCAAAUAUUUCCACAAAAAAAGUGCUUGCCCCGCCCCAUUUUGCACCGGCCCAUCCAUCUGAUAAAUAUUGAACGGUCCCUUACUGGGGGUAAUGUCUCUAUGUGCAAUGUAAUUCUGAUGACAAAAAUCUACUGCUUUUAAGAUUUGAAUGAAAAUAUCAACAACCAAUGUAUUACAUAAAGUUUUAUGUUCAGAAAUAAAAUCUUCAAGAUUUCCCCCGUCCGCAUAUUCCAUUAUAAUAUUUACUUCUUCACUUUUCACUAGAACUUCUCGAAAAGAUAUAAUGUUCUCAUGUCUCAAAGAAUAUAAACUAGCUAUUUCGUUUUUAAUAUACGUUUGUUCAUUUAAAUUUCCCCUGAAUUUCAAAAGUUUUAGAACAAGUAUUUCAUCUGUAGCCGGCGAACUUACUUUAUAGAUUUCUCCAAACCUACCAUCACUUAUCUUGCCAAUUACUUUGUAAGUUUUUCUUUCCAUUCAAUAAUUUUAGAUCUAACUUCCGAAUGUUGAUGUGGUUGUUUAAAUUGUUUUGCGUAUAUGCAAAAGAAAACAGAGAGUAAUUAUACCAGGUAAAAAGACACGUGGUUUGUUGUUUAUGUAGAUGCAAGUGAUUG
This 616-nucleotide long non-coding RNA is filed under the name Mytilus galloprovincialis (Mediterranean mussel). The record is from RNAcentral. Lineage: Eukaryota; Metazoa; Mollusca; Bivalvia; Mytilida; Mytilidae.